This is a non-coding RNA of Phoenix dactylifera (date palm), 500 nucleotides long. NCBI's taxonomy places the organism in Eukaryota, Viridiplantae, Streptophyta, Magnoliopsida, Arecales, Arecaceae. The record is from RefSeq and is a predicted model, not a curated record.
UCGCCGCCCAGUCUUGGAUAGUUAUAUUUGAGAGCAAUUUAUUUAAAUCUUCAAAGAGAUAAUUCCGGAAUCAGGGAGGAAAGAGUCCCUCCGCCGCCCAUUGGAACAUGGAAUGGAGCUGCGGGUGAAGCCAACCUUCCUGAAAUUCCAAAUAUUUUUUUUCGAACCUACUGCAAAAUACGUCUUACAAGAGUUAUAAUGCAUAAGACGGAGAAGCUCUGGAUCAGGUCAUGGAGGAUUGAAGUAUUCCGGGCAUCGCGAGGAGUCGAAGAAGCAGCGGGGGGAAGUCAGAUGGUAGAGUUUUUGGAGUUGGUACGAAGGAUCUGCGUGGUCGAGGCCCGCCAGAAUUUCUCCAAUCCUAGAUAUAUAAAAAAAGAAUGAUCAAUAAAUCUUUGAAAUUAUGGACUUCAUAUUUGCAGCCGCAUGAUGUCAUAUGUACAUGUCUAAAAUUGUUAACAAUCAUAAUAAUACUUGUAAUGUCGAUUUUUUUUCUUUUUAAA